GUCCCCGCAUCUCUCCCAACCUUGGGCCUUGUUUACUUUUUUUUGCAAAAUAGGAAUAGUAGCAGUUUCGUUUGUAUUUGACAAAUAUUGUCCAAUCAUGGAAUAACUAGACUCAAAAGAUUCUUCUCGCAAAUUACAGAUAAGCUAUGUAAUUAGUUAUUUCUUUUAUUUAUAUUUAGUGCUCUAUGCAUGUGUCGCAAGAUUCGAUGUGACGAGGAAUAUAAAAAAAAAUUGUAAAAUAUAUUGGGAACUAAGGCCUUGUUUAGAUGUGAAAAUUUUUUGGAUUUCGCUACUAUAGCACUUUCGUUUUUUGUGGUAAAUAUUAUCCAAUCAUAGACUAACUAGGUCAAAAGAUUCGUCUCGUGAUUUACAGUUAAACUGUGUGAUUAAUUUUUAUUUUUGUCUAUAUUUAAUGUUUCAUGUAUAUGCCACAAGAUUCAAUGUGACAGAAAAUCUU
This 457-nucleotide long non-coding RNA is filed under the name Sorghum bicolor (sorghum). RNAcentral's name for it is "long non-coding RNA (SBIC_LNC008575)". Lineage: Eukaryota; Viridiplantae; Streptophyta; Magnoliopsida; Poales; Poaceae. The record is from RNAcentral.